UACGUAGGGUGCGAGCGUUAAUCGGAAUUACUGGGCGUAAAGCGUGCGCAGGCGGUUAUGUAAGACAGGUGUGAAAUCCCCGGGCUUAACCUGGGAACUGCAUUUGUGACUGCAUAGCUAGAGUACGGUAGAGGGGGAUGGAAUUCCGCGUGUAGCAGUGAAAUGCGUAGAUAUGCGGAGGAACACCGAUGGCGAAGGCAAUCCCCUGGCGACCUCG
RNAcentral lists this ribosomal RNA (217 nucleotides) under uncultured bacterium. RNAcentral describes it as "partial 16S ribosomal RNA". It matches the Rfam family "Bacterial small subunit ribosomal RNA", at positions 524 to 739 of the family's 1533-position model. The record is from RNAcentral.